GAUGAUGAAUUGCGAAUUUAUUGACAUCCAUUAAAAGAGUACAAAAUUCAUAGAGAAAUAGCUACGAAAUAGCAAGAAAUUAUUAAACUUGAUUCAUAUACUUCUACAUCUCUUGCUAGUUACCUUACUAAGGUGAAACAUGGAUUGAAAGAAACAGUCUACCUCUUCAUCCUUUACUACAUACUUCAAUUCAGUUGCUGCUGCUGAUCUUUUCAUCGUAAUUCGAGAACGCUGCGACGUAAAUGGCGACACUUUUCUUUUUUUUAUUGGAGCAGGUGGACAGUUUUGAAGAACAGGAAUCUUGUUUCUUGAACAUUUUGGUGUUUUGCAUUCUUCAAACUCCUCCAUGAUAAUCACUACCUCUUGUGCUUGAAUUUGCUUUGUAAAUUUUGCAUCUUCUUCCUGUUUGAGAAUGCUUGAAUAUUCUUCCAUUUUUAUGAGAAACUUGUUGCUCUACUUAGCUUGUUGAAGGAAUGAAGUUGAUGUAAGAAAACAAAAUAUAUAGUGUUAAAAAAUAUAUAUGUUUGUUUUGUAUAUAAAUUUAAUAAUAUUUAAAUUUAUUAAGAAAUUGAGUAUAAAAGCAUUCAAACAAUAUGAUAGGUAGAUGUUUGAAAAAGUACAUGGAAAAAUUUGGCAGCUUUUGAUAUAAGUACCCUUUUGCCUUUCUUGUUAAGAGACUUUUUGUAGAGCUUUUUGCUUGAAUAUUGAAACUUGAAAGUGUGUCAGUGAUGUGGUGUUAUAGUUGCCCAACGACAGUUCCAUGUCAUGAGAAGAACAAAC
RNAcentral lists this long non-coding RNA (780 nucleotides) under Lathyrus oleraceus (garden pea). Its description in RNAcentral is "Pisum sativum (pea) long non-coding RNA (PSAT_LNC029773)". Lineage: Eukaryota; Viridiplantae; Streptophyta; Magnoliopsida; Fabales; Fabaceae. The record is from RNAcentral.